Molecule: ribosomal RNA, 220 nt
Filed under: uncultured bacterium
Lineage: Bacteria
Description: partial 16S ribosomal RNA
Rfam family: Bacterial small subunit ribosomal RNA
Source: RNAcentral
CCCUUCGCGGGGGACAACAGUCCGAAAGGAUUGCUAAUACCGCAUACGUCGGCGAGCUCCUCGGAGUUUGCUGGGAAAGAUGGCCUCUUCAUGAAAGCUAUCACCGAAGGAUGAGUCCGCGGCCCAUCAGCUAGUUGGCGGGGUAAUGGCCCACCAAGGCUUAGACGGGUAGCUGGUCUGAGAGGAUGAUCAGCCACACUGGAACUGAGACACGGUCCAG